This 1118-nucleotide long non-coding RNA is filed under the name Daucus carota (carrot). RNAcentral's name for it is "long non-coding RNA (DCAR_LNC007038)". Lineage: Eukaryota; Viridiplantae; Streptophyta; Magnoliopsida; Apiales; Apiaceae. The record is from RNAcentral.
CUUUUCAAAAGUUUUAGAGGUUUUUAUGCGACUAAUCAAGCCUAUGACUUAUCGAGUCUUUUAUAUUUUUCUACAAUUUUUCAUUUACCUCCAGGUAUUUUUGGCAAUUCUCAGGAAUUCCUCAUUCUUAAGAAUUUCCGUACCUUUCAGGUAUUUAUUUGAGUACUAAGUAUAUACUUAAAAUAUUUUCAAAAUAUUUUUUCUCGAAUGAGAAAAAUAUUUUAUUUAGUCCCCCAAAUUUUCAGACUUUUCAGGGAUUUUUCACCUAUUUUUCAUAUUUAAUUGUACGACAAUUUUUUUUUUCCUUACUUUUCAGAAAUAAUAAAACAAGAAUCAGGCAGGGGCCCACCGGUCUUGCGCUCAGUCGCUUACUCGGCUAGAAACAGCCUCUUUCUCGGCUGUAUGUACUCGGCCACUUUAUUGAUGCUUUUUACUUUUUUUUUUUUAACUUAUCUUUUUCUUUUAAGAAAAAGGAAAAAGCUAAAACAAAAUAAAUAAAAUGAAUGUAGGGUCCACCUAAUCGGCCUUAGGAGUUGGUCCCAAGGGAAAGAUGGCCCCAAACUAGGAAGGUCCGUAUCAGGUGAAGGAUGUUAUUGGUCGCGUCUCGUACAAGCUUCAGACCCUGGAUGGAGUUGAGUUUCCAAGGACUUGGCAUGCCACCAACUUGAAGAUUUAUUAUAUUUGUUUAUCUUAGCAAGUAGAUGACCAUUGAAUAAGGUCUGAUAGACCACUGCCAGUUAGUUUAUAACUUAGUUGAUCUUAGUUGUUUAUCUCUUCUACUAUAGUUUCAAUAAAAUUACUUAUGGGUUGCUCCAUAUCUCAUGUUUUUAAUGUUUUCCUUGAGUUUUUGUUUGCCUACCGUGAACAGAUCAACCCGGAACAUGAAUUCAACCACAAAUAAGUUACGAUUAACAUUGAUUGAGUUAAAAUUACAAGCUAAGGCUUGAUAAGUCCGAUACUACGACUUAAGGCUAAAUAAGUCCAAUACUACAAGUUAAGGCUAGAUAAGUCUAAAUAAGUAGACCACGCAGGGUCCUUAAUAAAUCCUACUCAUCGGACUCGGAAUCAGCCUCCGAGCUAUCUGUAUAGUCGGACUUCCCAACCGGAUGCCUUUCAAU